Myiozetetes cayanensis is the source of this 5209-nucleotide long non-coding RNA. RefSeq lists it as uncharacterized. The record is from RefSeq and is a predicted model, not a curated record. Lineage: Eukaryota; Metazoa; Chordata; Aves; Passeriformes; Tyrannidae. The transcript has 3 exons.
GUAGGAGAGCCUUCAUCUCCCAGGCUGGAGAGGGGGACAGGAGUGCAGCUGGGAGGGGUGAUUGCACGGCGAGUGAGCGUAUGUGUUACAGUCCUGCUAGCUCAGCAAAUAAUAGUGGGGAAAUUAACUGCGAUGGGCUUCAAGGUGCUUGCACAAGAUCCUGGAUACCAAGAAACUAUCCCAACCUGUCCCAGUGUCCUUUCCUUGUUACUUAUAUCCAGCACUAAAACUGUAACGGAUUUGCCUUUCCUGGGUUGCAAUCCCCUUCUGCUGCCAGAUGCAGAGGGGUCUUAUGCGACCUGAGGGACAGAAACUCCAUAUUGGCCAAAAGCUUCCCCAUAUCUGUGCUCUUCCAUGGCUGUCCUAGGAAUGAACUGAGGCUCCUAUUGUGUCCUUUCCUCUUCUCCCUGCUCUUAAUGCUGAAUUGAGGAGGAGAAAUGUGAGGUAAUGUGUGUGAAGGCAGUGUACCUCUUCAGUGAAAGAGGUGAGAGCCUACUAGGGAAGGGUGCUUAACUGAUAGAAAAUGAGGGUCAAUCCUGUAGUUGGAGCCAAGAGAAGACAAUUCCCUUCCAAAAUAAUUUGAUUGUAAGGAGGACUAUUGAAGGAAGAAGUUGGGAAUAAUAAGAAAGAUUCUGAGAAGAAAGUCAUAUGUACGGCCAGUGUAGAUUUAGGUACAAGGGGUAGAAGUUUUGGACAAUGACUUAAGUCGAGAAGUGGGAUUAAAUAUUCAUCUAUUUGUUAACCCUGUAAUCCUCUGAAACAUUUGUCACAGCCCACGUACAAGAACUGGGAUGCUGUUCAGGAAAAAAAAGAGGUCAGCUUCUUGAAAGGUGAACCAAGGCUGCUCACAGAGGCACCUUCUGUCAGGCGCAGGAAGGUGGAAUCCCAUUACUGUCUGCAAAUUAAGCCACUGGGGACCAGUUUCAAACAGAAAAGGAAGGCUGUGAGCUUUGCUGCCUGUGCCAAGGACAGUAGCUGUUACAAAUAGGUUUUGAGGAUGGGGUGAUCAUGAGCCUGUGAUACCAAAACGCUCCUUCCCCCAGUAGGGAAGUGUAGAAGGGAAGUGAAAGCUAUCGGGUUUCCAGCUGAACUGCCCUGCACUUGAGGUACCCGAGCUGUUGCCCACUUCACAGCACCAGUGAAUACUUCAGCUUUAAAAUAUUUGGAUCUGGAAAAAGGCAGUGAGGUUGUCAUUUUAGACCACAGAGAAAUAAAUCUCUGCAGAUCACUGCUACCAGGCUUUAUCCAUAGGAUUCCUGAGUUGUGGCAUGAUUGCCCCAGAGAGAUCUGGGUCCUGUUGUGGCAGGCAAGACCUACUUAGGGAGGUGUGUGCAUGCCUGUAACUGGGUAGAGAGUGGCUAUGGGGAUCACUUGCCUUUUUGAAGACCUUUCUAAGCCAUCACCCACUGUUUGUAAUUUUCCUAUGUAACAGACUGAAAUCAGCCUGGCUCCAGCCCAUUUCAUUGCGGCUGCUUGGGCGCUGUGGGCAAUGUGGCAGGCGGCAGGAAUCACACAGCUUGCCUUUGGCUCUUCAGCUGGAUACUUAUGCACAGCCUGGGCAGGAGCUAGAGACAGAGUGCUCCAGAAAUGGAAGCCUACCUUUCUCUGUGGUAAUAAAUAUGUCUGCAUCUGCUACCAGGCAGGUAGAUGGUGGAGCACAAACCAGUGUAUAACUCAUAUCAUGCCUGGAGAAAAGGAAGAUUCUGUGGUGAAAGGGUAUUUCAGUGUAUCCACGUGGCAAGUACAUAAGUCACCACCCACAGGUUUGCUCUGGUCAGUGCUGCCUGCUAAGGAUCUGCAAGGUUGCAGGUGCCUUUUGACCCUGGUUCGUUACCCUUUGCACUCUUCCAAAUAAUUUAUAUCUUCGUAUGUCUGGCAGUUGUUUGGGAACCUGUCCAAGCCUUCAAAUGAAAGGCCAGGAGAGGGAAUUGGUUUUCUAUUUCUGGCUUUGCAACUUAACACCUGCCUAAUCUGUGGCAAGUCACUUGGGGCCAAAAUCUUACAGAGGUGAGUUAGUGUGUACUCCUCAUUUUGAGUCUUUCUCUUGGUGUCCACCUGUAGCUUGAUAUGCUUUCAGAAUUUAAUCCUCAGUGUUCCUGUCUCAGUUGCCACUUAAAUCUUGUGGUACCUUCCUCUUUUUUAAUGUGAAAAACUUCCUGCUGCUUGGCCCACUUGGAUGAGUGUUAGUUUUGAUGCUGUUGAGUAAUGCCCUUGACCGGACGUUGGAUAUUUCUCUAUCAUCAGGUUUAAACCUGAAUGUAAAAACUUGCUCCUUGGAUUGAAAUCCAUUCAAAACGUAAGAGGAAAAUGCUGAAAUGCUCUCACUUGUUCACCUGUCCCAACCUCCCCUCAUCUUUAUUUUUUAUUCUGCUAACUCUGUGCUUAAGGUGUUUCCCCAAGUAAGGGACCUAGAAUCACCUGCAUGCCUUCCAGGAGAGCAUCCUCCCAGAACGGGUGAAGUGGAACUCCCCCUCCCGAGACUGGCUUUUUAUAGGUAACUACCUGGGGCAAUCACCCUAUUAGAUUACCUGUGGGCCUCACAUUUCCAACUAAAUGGGCUCGAUAAUGCUUUCUUGGCUAAUAGGACUGCUCGAGAGCUGAUUUAUCACCAUUGUCAAGUGUGACAUGGUCCUAGGGAAAAAAAGCGACAUAAAACCAGAGUGGAGCUAAGACGUUUGGAAGGACUUAUUGACAGGCACAUGUACAUUUAAAAAUUGUUACUCUGUUUUGCUUAAUGAGCUCAAACCCCCAUUCUUUGUGCCACAGUGUGCUUUUCCAUAGUGAAGUGCAACAAGGACUUCCAAAGAGCUGAGGCAAAACCUUGCAGAGCUGGCAGCCUGGAGCUCCAGGCUCGGCUUUGUGCUUGUGAGCCUGGUUUCCACUGAGGUCCUGCAGAUGCCACUUUGGUUUGGAUGAUUAUACGCAGACUGAAGAGUAAAGCUUUUAACAGAAGUCAUCACCUAAAGGCUGGAGGAGAGGAUCCAACUCCUGUGUGAUGUUUGCCUCCCAGGGACCUUCCUGGCUCCCACCAGAAGUUCCCCAGACCUGCACAUUGACUUACAGCUGGGAUUACAGCAGAACACAUCUCCUCAACAUUCAGUCUCAGAAGAAGAGAAAUAGGAAACCUGAGGGAAAAUGAAUCAUGGAAUCACAGAAUAUGCCGAGUUGGAAGGGACCCAGAAGGAUCAUCAAGUCCAACUCCUGGCCCUGCACAGAACCAUCCCAAAGAGUCACACCAAGUGCAUGAGAGUAUCUUCCAAACACUUCUUGAACUCUGUCAGGCUUGGUGCUGUGACCACUUCCCUGGAGAGCCUGUUCAGUGCCCAACCACCCUCUGGGUGAAGAACCUCUUUCUAAUAUCCAGAUCUAAACCUCUCCUGACACAACUUCAGGCCAUUCCCUUGGGUCCUGUCACUGGUCACCACAGAGAAGAGAUCAGUGCCUGCCCGUCCUCUUCCCCUCACUAGGAAGUUGUUACUGCAAUGAGGUCUCCCCUCAGUCUCCUCCAGGCUGAACAGACCAAGUGCCCUCAGCCACUCCUCACAUGGCUUCCCCUCAAGGCCCUGCACCAUCUUCAUUGCCCUCUUUGGACUCUCUCUAACAGUUUAAUAUCUUUCUUAUAUUGUGAUGACCAACACUGCACACAAUAUUCAAGGUGAGGCUGCCCCAGUGCAGAGCAGAGAGGGUCAAUCCCCUCCCUUGGCUGGCUGGCAAUGCUUUGCCUGAUGCAACCCAUGAGCCUUUUAUUAUAUUUUCGCUCCCCUGUCCGGGGGAGGAGAAGAAUCAUAGAGCGGCUUUGGUGGGCACCUGGCAUCCAGCCCAGGUCCAAUCACCACAUAUCUAAUCUAAAUCUACCAGUUUUUCAAUUUAAAACCAUUACCCCUUGUUCUGUCACUAUAGGCUCUGGUAAAAAGUCUCUGUCUUUCUUAUGAAACUCCUUUAGGCACUGGAAGGCUGCUGAGAGGUCUCCCUGGAGCCUUAUCUAGGCUGAACAGCCCAACUCUCUCAUCCUGUCUUCAAAAGAGAGGUGCACCACUCUCUUCUGUUCAUCUUCGUGACCCUCCUCUGUACUUUCUCCAACAAGUCCAUGCCUUUCCAUUACCUGAGAUCUCACAGCUGGAUGCAAUACUCCAGGUGAGGUCUUAUAAGAGCAGAAUAGAAGGGGAGCAUUGCCGCCUACAUCACCUGAUGGCCACACUUCUUAUGUAGCCCAGGAUACAAUUUACUUUGGCACACUUUGCCAGCUUGUAAUCACUGCAAAUAAUGACACACUGAAGAGUGAGGAUACUCUGGGAUCCUCUUUCACACUGUGACCUUCAUAUGGACAAGACCCUCUCACUGGGCCUUGGAAGCCCAGGAACAUACUCCUUUAAAAAUAAACUGAAGAAAUCAUGAGCUUCCCACAAGCCUCUUUUAUGUUUCUCUUUCUUUCUCAUCUUCGUUCAAACCCCAUGUUAGGCUGAAAGGAGCCCCAGGCACGACCACAGUGUGGACAGAUGGACAGUGUGAGCAGCUGGCCCUUCCCACCUGACACGGCAGGGAUGGAGGUUACUGCCUCCAUCACCCGCUGAUGGAUCUGUGCUUGCUGCCAGCAGAAGCAAAGGCAGUUCCAGUCAUUUUGGGAGAAAAGCCCUCUGCAGCCUAGAAUGGCCAUGCCAUCAUGCAACUGGAGAAUCAUUUAGGUUGGAAAAGACCUCUAGGAUCAUCAGGUCCAAGUGUUAACUGAGGACUGACAAGUUCACCCCUAAACCAUGUCCCUAAGUGCCACAUCUACACAUCUUUUAAAUACCUCCAGGGGUGAUGAAUCCACCACUUCCCUGGGUAGCCUGUUCCACUGCUUGACAGCCCUUUCAGUGAAGAAAGUUUUCCUGAUAUCCAAUCUAAACCUCCCCUGGCACAACUUGAGGCUAUUUCCUCUUGUCCUGUCACUUAUCACUUGGGAGAAGGUGGUUGCAGAGAGCGAUGCGGUUACUCCUGAGCCUCCUCUUCUCCAGGCUGAACAAAGUGACCUGAGCCACUUCUUAUAAGACUUGUGCUCCAGACCCUACACCACCUUCUUUGCCCUUCUCUGGACAUACUUCAGCUCCUCAAUGUCCUUCUUGUAAUGAGGGGCCCAAAACUGAACCCAGGAUUCAAGCUGCAGCCUCACCAGUGCUGAGUACAGGGGAACAAUCACUGCCCUGGUCCUGCUGGUCACACUAUUUCUGAU